AAAGAUGAGUUCUCUUUUUGGUAAGACCCCUUGUAGACUACGAGGUUGAUAGGACGCAGGUGGAAGCGUGGCAACACGUGCAGCCGAGCGUUACUAAUCGGUCGAGCUCUUUAUCUAA
This 118-nucleotide ribosomal RNA is filed under the name Coriobacteriales bacterium. RNAcentral describes it as "partial 23S ribosomal RNA". It matches the Rfam family "Bacterial large subunit ribosomal RNA", at positions 2800 to 2925 of the family's 2925-position model. The record is from RNAcentral. Lineage: Bacteria; Bacillati; Actinomycetota; Coriobacteriia; Coriobacteriales.